CAAUCUGGAGAGAGGCGUCGGCACCCGUCAGUGCCAGGCGUCCACCGAAGGGGAAGCCCGGGAUUUCAAGGCGGCGUCGCCGUCUGUCUCGGGGCGAGCUCUCAGGUACCGCGACAGAUUG
RNAcentral lists this non-coding RNA (121 nucleotides) under Ancylobacter novellus. RNAcentral describes it as "Starkeya novella Glycine sequence". It matches the Rfam family "Glycine riboswitch aptamer", at positions 7 to 88 of the family's 94-position model. Rfam says of the family: This family represents the bacterial glycine riboswitch. Glycine riboswitches usually consist of two metabolite-binding aptamers domains with similar structures in tandem. The record is from RNAcentral. Lineage: Bacteria; Pseudomonadati; Pseudomonadota; Alphaproteobacteria; Hyphomicrobiales; Xanthobacteraceae.